AAAAUUUUUUUCGUAUAUUUAGUGCUUAUACCUGAGCAGGAUGAAGCCAAGGGAAAAAUCUGGUGAAAGUCGGAAGCAAUUAUGACCUGCAAAUCGAUCGUCUGACUUUAGUACAGAGACGUAAGACUAAUCGAACAAUCUAAUGGCUGGUUUCCUCUGAAGUUCCUCAGCAUAGCUGGUGUAUAUAAUGAAGCUGUUAUUUUCGGUAAAGCUAAUGAUUAAAAGAAUUGUGGGAUGAAACGUCGUCAACCUAUUCUCAAACUUUCAAUGAUUUUGACGUCUUACUUGUUUAAAUGAUGCGUAGACAUUGAAUGAGUUCUCCAUGCAGACAAUUUUUGAUAAGCAAAUUUGGUGCUGUGAAAUGAACCAAAUGUUGAGUUAAUUAUUUAUUAUUUUCGUCAAAUUGUAGUUUUUUUUUUAAAUAGAUUUGAUUGUUAUCUUAACUGCAUACCAUUUUGUUGCUGA
RNAcentral lists this non-coding RNA (465 nucleotides) under Onchocerca ochengi. RNAcentral's name for it is "Eukaryotic large subunit ribosomal RNA". It matches the Rfam family "Eukaryotic large subunit ribosomal RNA", at positions 805 to 1373 of the family's 3401-position model. The record is from Rfam by way of RNAcentral. Lineage: Eukaryota; Metazoa; Nematoda; Chromadorea; Rhabditida; Onchocercidae.